This 421-nucleotide ribosomal RNA is filed under the name uncultured cyanobacterium. RNAcentral's name for it is "bacterial SSU rRNA". It matches the Rfam family "Bacterial small subunit ribosomal RNA", at positions 359 to 795 of the family's 1533-position model. The record is from RNAcentral. Lineage: Bacteria; Bacillati; Cyanobacteriota.
GAAUUUUCCGCAAUGGGCGAAAGCCUGACGGAGCAACGCCGCGUGAGGGAAGAAGGCCUCUGGGCUGUAAACCUCUUUUCUCAAGGAAGAAGAUCUGACGGUACUUGAGGAAUAAGCCACGGCUAAUUCCGUGCCAGCAGCCGCGGUAAUACGGGAGUGGCAAGCGUUAUCCGGAAUUAUUGGGCGUAAAGCGUCUGUAGGUGGUUUGAUAAGUCAACUGUUAAAUCUUGAGGCUCAACUUCAAAAUCGCAGUCGAAACUAUUAGACUAGAGUAUAGUAGAGGUAAAGGGAAUUUCCAGUGGAGCGGUGAAAUGCGUAGAUAUUGGAAAGAACACCGAUGGCGAAAGCACUUUACUGGGCUAUUACUAACACUCAGAGACGAAAGCUAGGGUAGCAAAUGGGAUUAGAUACCCCAGUAGUC